Molecule: ribosomal RNA, 483 nt
Filed under: uncultured bacterium
Lineage: Bacteria
Description: partial 16S ribosomal RNA
Rfam family: Bacterial small subunit ribosomal RNA
Source: RNAcentral
AUUGAACGCUGGCGGCAGGCCUAACACAUGCCAGUCGAGCGGAUGAAGGGUGCUUGCUCCUGGAUUCAGCGGCGGACGGGUGUGUAAUGCCUAGGAAUCUGCCUGGUAGUGGGGGAUAACGUCCGGAGACGGGCGCUGCUACCGCAUACGUGCUGCGGGAGCAACUGGGGGAUCUUCGGACCUCACGCUCUCAGGUGAGCCUAGGUGGGGUUAGCCAGUUGGUGGGGGAAAGGCCUACCAAGGCGAUGAUCGGUAACUGGUCGGGGAGGAUGAUCGGUCACACUGGAGCUGAGACACGGCCCAGAGUCUGACGGGAGGCAGCGGUGGGGAAUAUAGGACAAUGGGCGAAAGCCUGCACCAGCCAUGCCGGGUGGGUGAAGAAGGUCUGCGGGUGGUAAAGCACUUUAAGGUGGGAGGAAGGGCAGUAAGUUAAUACCUUGCUGUUUGGACGUUACCAACAGAAUAAGCACCGGCUACCUUCGU